Oncorhynchus kisutch (coho salmon) is the source of this 3865-nucleotide long non-coding RNA. The record is from Ensembl. NCBI's taxonomy places the organism in Eukaryota, Metazoa, Chordata, Actinopteri, Salmoniformes, Salmonidae.
UUAGUUAUCUAUUAAUUAAAUCACCUGACUGUUUGGAUGUGUCUGUUAGUAAAUGUUUUAUUUCUGAGAGAUAAUGCAUAAAAUAAUUAGUUGUCACUGUGUUAACCACAACCAACAUGCUGGAUCUCUGUUUAGUUGUCACUGUGUUAACCACAACCAACAUGCUGGAUCUCUGUUUAGUUGUCACUGUGUUAACCACAACCAACAUGUUGGAUCUCUGUUUAGUUGUCACUGUGUUAACCACAACCAACAUGUUGGAUCUCUGUUUAGUUGUCACUGUGUUAACCACAACCAACAUGUUGGAUCUCUGUUUAGUUGUCACUGUGUUAACCACAACCAACAUGUUGGAUCUCUGUUUAGUUGUCACUGUGUUAACCACAACCAACAUGUUGGAUCUCUGUUUAGUUGUCACUGUGUUAACCACAACCAACAUGUUGGAUCUCUGUUUAGUUGUCACUGUGUUAACCACAACCAACAUGUUGGAUCUCUGUUUAGUUGUCACUGUGUUAACCACAACCAACAUGUUGGAUCUCUGUUUAGUUGUCACUGUGUUAACCACAACCAACAUGUUGGAUCUCUGUUUAGUUGUCACUGUGUUAACCACAACCAACAUGUUGGAUCUCUGUUUAGUUGUCACUGUGUUAACCACAACCAACAUGUUGGAUCUCUGUUUAGUUGUCACUGUGUUAACCACAACCAACAUGUUGGAUCUCUGUUUAGUUGUCACUGUGUUAACCACAACCAACAUGUUGGAUCUCUGUUUAGUUGUCACUGUGUUAACCACAACCAACAUGUUGGAUCUCUGUUUAGUUGUCACUGUGUUAAACACAACCAACAUGUUGGAUCUCUGUUUAGUUGUCACUGUGUUAACCACAACCAACAUGUUGGAUCUCUGUUUAGUUGUCACUGUGUUAACCACAACCAACAUGUUGGAUCUCUGUUUAGUUGUCACUGUGUUAACCACAACCAACAUGUUGGAUCUCUGUUUAGUUGUCACUGUGUUAAACACAACCAACAUGCUGGAUCUCUGUUUAGUUGUCACUGUGUUAACCACAACCAACAUGUUGGAUCUCUGUUUAGUUGUCACUGUGUUAACCACAACCAACAUGUUGGAUCUCUGUUUAGUUGUCACUGUGUUAACCACAACCAACAUGUUGGAUCUCUGUUUAGUUGUCACUGUGUUAACCACAACCAACAUGUUGGAUCUCUGUUUAGUUGUCACUGUGUUAACCACAACCAACAUGUUGGAUCUCUGUUUAGUUGUCACUGUGUUAACCACAACCAACAUGUUGGAUCUCUGUUUAGUUGUCACUGUGUUAACCACAACCAACAUGUUGGAUCUCUGUUUAGUUGUCACUGUGUUAAACACAACCAACAUGUUGGAUCUCUGUUUAGUUGUCACUGUGUUAACCACAACCAACAUGUUGGAUCUCUGUUUAGUUGUCACUGUGUUAACCACAACCAACAUGUUGGAUCUCUGUUUAGUUGUCACUGUGUUAACCACAACCAACAUGUUGGAUCUCUGUUUAGUUGUCACUGUGUUAACCACAACCAACAUGUUGGAUCUCUGUUUAGUUGUCACUGUGUUAACCACAACCAACAUGUUGGAUCUCUGUUUAGUUGUCACUGUGUUAACCACAACCAACAUGUUGGAUCUCUGUUUAGUUGUCACUGUGUUAAACACAACCAACAUGUUGGAUCUCUGUUUAGUUGUCACUGUGUUAACCACAACCAACAUGUUGGAUCUCUGUUUAGUUGUCACUGUGUUAACCACAACCAACAUGUUGGAUCUCUGUUUAGUUGUCACUGUGUUAACCACAACCAACAUGUUGGAUCUCUGUUUAGUUGUCACUGUGUUAACCACAACCAACAUGUUGGAUCUCUGUUUAGUUGUCACUGUGUUAAACACAACCAACAUGUUGGAUCUCUGUUUAGUUGUCACUGUGUUAACCACAACCAACAUGUUGGAUCUCUGUUUAGAUGUCACUGUGUUAACCACAACCAACAUGUUGGAUCUCUGUUUAGUUGUCACUGUGUUAACCACAACCAACAUGUUGGAUCUCUGUUUAGUUGUCACUGUGUUAACCACAACCAACAUGUUGGAUCUCUGUUUAGUUGUCACUGUGUUAAACACAACCAACAUGCUGGAUCUCUGUUUAGUUGUCACUGUGUUAACCACAACCAACAUGUUGGAUCUCUGUUUAGUUGUCACUGUGUUAACCACAACCAACAUGUUGGAUCUCUGUUUAGUUGUCACUGUGUUAACCACAACCAACAUGUUGGAUCUCUGUUUAGUUGUCACUGUGUUAACCACAACCAACAUGUUGGAUCUCUGUUUAGUUGUCACUGUGUUAACCACAACCAACAUGUUGGAUCUCUGUUUAGUUGUCACUGUGUUAACCACAACCAACAUGUUGGAUCUCUGUUUAGUUGUCACUGUGUUAACCACAACCAACAUGUUGGAUCUCUGUUUAGUUGUCACUGUGUUAACCACAACCAACAUGUUGGAUCUCUGUUUAGUUGUCACUGUGUUAACCACAACCAACAUGUUGGAUCUCUGUUUAGUUGUCACUGUGUUAACCACAACCAACAUGUUGGAUCUCUGUUUAGUUGUCACUGUGUUAACCACAACCAACAUGCUGGAUCUCUGUUUAGUUGUCACUGUGUUAACCACAACCAACAUGCUGGAUCUCUGUUUAGUUGUCACUGUGUUAACCACAACCAACAUGCUGGAUCUCUGUUUAGUUGUCACUGUGUUAACCACAACCAACAUGUUGGAUCUCUGUUUAGUUGUCACUGUGUUAACCACAACCAACAUGUUGGAUCUCUGUUUAGUUGUCACUGUGUUAACCACAACCAACAUGUUGGAUCUCUGUUUAGUUGUCACUGUGUUAAACACAACCAACAUGCUGGAUCUCUGUUUAGUUGUCACUGUGUUAACCACAACCAACAUGUUGGAUCUCUGUUUAGUUGUCACUGUGUUAACCACAACCAACAUGUUGGAUCUCUGUUUAGUUGUCACUGUGUUAACCACAACCAACAUGUUGGAUCUCUGUUUAGUUGUCACUGUGUUAACCACAACCAACAUGUUGGAUCUCUGUUUAGUUGUCACUGUGUUAACCACAACCAACAUGUUGGAUCUCUGUUUAGUUGUCACUGUGUUAACCACAACCAACAUGUUGGAUCUCUGUUUAGUUGUCACUGUGUUAACCACAACCAACAUGUUGGAUCUCUGUUUAGUUGUCACUGUGUUAACCACAACCAACAUGUUGGAUCUCUGUUUAGUUGUCACUGUGUUAACCACAACCAACAUGUUGGAUCUCUGUUUAGUUGUCACUGUGUUAACCACAACCAACAUGUUGGAUCUCUGUUUAGUUGUCACUGUGUUAACCACAACCAACAUGCUGGAUCUCUGUUUAGUUGUCACUGUGUUAACCACAACCAACAUGCUGGAUCUCUGUUUAGUUGUCACUGUGUUAACCACAACCAACAUGCUGGAUCUCUGUUUAGUUGUCACUGUGUUAACCACAACCAACAUGUUGGAUCUCUGUUUAGUUGUCACUGUGUUAACCAGAACCAACAUGUUGUAUCUCUGUUUAGGGGUCAGUGCUCUAAAAUGAGUCUCUCUGGGGAGAGAGAGGAGGGGGGCCCUGUCUCUAAAAUGAGUCUCUCUGGGGAGAGAGAGGAGGGGGGCCCUUCCUCUAAAACACAUCUCUCUGGGGGACAUGACACCAAAGCUAAGAGUCCAAUCAAGCAGGAGAGACCAGCCUCCCCUGUUCCCAGCUGUGUGUCCAUGAAGAGUGACCAGUCUAUGAAUCUACCUAUAGAGUUUAGAAAGGGAGACUUUUCUACUGAACAAAGGUAA